Molecule: ribosomal RNA, 482 nt
Filed under: uncultured bacterium
Lineage: Bacteria
Description: partial 16S ribosomal RNA
Rfam family: Bacterial small subunit ribosomal RNA
Source: RNAcentral
GAUGAACGCUGGCGGCGUGCUUAACACAUGCAAGUCGAACGGUGAAGCCAAGCUUGCUUGGUGGAUCAGCGGCGAACGGGUGAGUAACACGUGAGCAACCUGCCCUGGACUCUGGGAUAAGCGCUGGAAAUGGUGUCUAAUACUGGAUAUGAGCUCCUACCGCAUGGUGGGGGUUGGAAAGAUUUUUCGGUCUGGGAUGGGCUCGCGGCCUAUCAGCUUGUUGGUGAGGUAAUGGCUCACCAAGGCGUCGCCGGGUAGCCGGCCUGAGAGGGGGACCGGCCACACUGGGACUGAGAAACGGCCCAGACUCCUACGGGGGGCAGCAGGGGGGAAUAUUGCACAAUGGGCGGAAGCCUGAUUCAGCAGCGCCGCGUGAGGGAUGACGGCCUUCGGGUUGUAAACCUCUUUUAGCAGGGAAGAAGCUUUUGUGACGGUACCUGCAGAAAAAGCGCCGGCUAACUACGUGCCAGCCGCCGCGGUAA